GACGAAGGGCUCGACUGUUAUUCGUUUUGAUUGGGUGUAAAGGGUGAGUAGGCGGUUAAUCGUAAAAUUUUGAGUCAAAGCGCGGAGUGUUCCUCCGCGAAAGCUCGAUUUAAAGGAUUUGACUAGUGUUGAUAAGGGGGUUUAGGCAAUUUCGUACGUAGGAGUAAAAUCCAUCGAUGUACGAACGAACGCCAGCUGGCGAAGGCGCUUUUCCUAUUUCAACAGACGCUGAGGCACGGAAGCGUAGGGAGCAAACGGGG
Molecule: ribosomal RNA, 260 nt
Filed under: uncultured bacterium
Lineage: Bacteria
Description: partial 16S ribosomal RNA
Rfam family: Bacterial small subunit ribosomal RNA
Source: RNAcentral